UGAAUGAAUGAUAUAUGAAGUUGUUUGUUGUUUUUUCAUCUUUUUGGCUAGCUCAGAGUGUAACUUAUUUAUCCAAAGUCACACAACUAUUCCUUCACUUAUUCAGUUAACAGAUGUGUUUCCUAUAUGUCAGGAACUUUAUGUGUUCUGGAGAUAAUGGUGAUCUUUCCUCCUAUAUUGUUGCUAAGGCACAGACAAGCACAGGCAGGUAAUAGACAUAAAAAAUGAACGUGAUUUUAUGUGUGGUAAGUGGUAUUCAAGAAAAUAAGAGGAAUGGUAUAGAAUGUGGUGGAAGUAGGGGGUACAAGGACACUGGCUAAUUUAGAAUGGGAAAAUCCCUCUGAGAUGGGGAUAUUAGAGUCAUGACCUGAAAGAGCUCCAUUUGAAGAUGGGUGAAAAAUCUAUACAAGAGAAAGCAGUAAGUACAAAGUCCCCAGUUUGGGAAGUGCUUGGCACACCUGAGGAGCAGAAAGAAGGGCUGGUGUGGCUGGAGCCUAAUGAAAUUUAAAUUGAGAGGAGGAUAUGUCUAGGCCAGUUUAUGUCAUGCUUGAUAAACCAGGGUAAGAAAUUUGAGUUGUAUUUGAGUUGCAAUGGACAGCAUUGGAAGGCUUUAAACAAGGAGGAGACUUUUUUUUUAAAGACCGCUGGCUACGAUAUAGAGAAAAGACUAUAAUGAUGCAGGGACAAGUUAAGUUUUAUCUAAGUAGUUAUACUGAUUUGUUCUGAGGGAAAUAAAGUAAUGUCCUUUUAGCUGAAUCUGAGCGAAUCUGAGCGAAUUAGAGAAGGAAUGGAAAAAGUUACCAAAUAGUCACUAACAAUGGCCUAAGACUGUGAAUGUGGUGGUCUUGUUUUCCUACUUACUUGUGGCAUUAACAAAGUGUAUUAGCUUCCUAUUUGAAAUUUGUGGAAUAUGUAUAUUGAAAUCUUUAGAGUUUUUUGUUUUAAAUGCUUUUCGGAAUUGACAGUGUUUUUCAGUUAAUUUCACAUCUAAAUUAAAUGAAAACAAUCUCAAGUAUAAUUGCUACUGAAAUUGUCAAAGGAAUUUUACUGAGGCAAAGCAGUGAAAACAUUUGCCUUCUAUAAAGAAGUUAUGAUGCUUGAACUUAAUGGCUAUGAAAGUUAAAAAUUUUAAAUACAGAUUAAUCUCUGUGCUAGUGUUUAGAGAGAGAUGACAUAUAAGAAUUUUUUGGCUCUUCAUGUUAUUUUAAAUGCUCAUGAGUAAUACCAGAAACAGGCUUUAUUUGGAAAUAGAUACACUAUUUAAGACAAAAUUUGAAGAGAUUUAUUUUAAAGUGUUCCAUUUCUCAUUGAGAAGUAUUUUUUUUCUUUGCCUAGAUACCUGGCACAGUGAUGAACUUAAUAGAAGACUCUGUCCUCACUAUGCAUAUGGUCUGUGUUGUGGGUUCUUACACAUAAGCAAACAGGUGAAGAUUAAGCCAGGCCACCCAUGUGGGGGAUCUAGUCCACUGCCAAGGGUGACUUUUUAGGGUGCUUGGGCCUCAUCCAUCCUUUUAUAAUCAAGAUUAUUAAAACAAUGGGAGAUGCUGUAUGCUGAUCUCCAGAAGAACAAAGAAUUAGUCGGGUGUUAAACCAAGAACACUAAAGAUGCAGCAGUAGCCAAAGGGAAGGCUGUAAAAAGAACCUCUGAGGACCCAGGUGACUCCAGCUGUUAAUGUCUCUCUGUCCUUGGAUAUUGGGAACUGAAGCAGAUGUAAGCUAUUUAACUUUGUAAGCCUCAGUUUCUUCUGUAAAAUGGUGACAAUAAGAAAUAACAAUAAGUGCCCAAUAAGUUUUAACUAUUAUUAUGUAUCUACAGCUAUUUUAAAGCACUUUCUGUAUGUAAUCCUCAUAACAGCCAUAUUAGGUGAGCCUAUUACACUUCUCAUUUUAUGACAAAGGAAACUAGAUUUGUUUCAAGAAUGAAAAACCUAGAAAAUUAUAUGUCACUUUAUGAAGUGCCUGGCACAUAGUACAUAGAACAGCUUAGCUACAAUAAUAUAGAUGUGUGACUUUACCUCAUAACUUUAAGACAUCUCAAAUUGAUUCACAAAUCAGAAAAAAAAUCUGUUGUGAGGUGAGGCAUCUCAGUUUUUGCACAUAUGGUUACUGUCAUUGAGGGAGCUCCAUGUCGAGGGAUGCUGGCCAAAGGUAGGGGCAUAUUUAGGCAGUGAAAUUGCAGUUAUGGGACCCCUCUGUAGCACUAGGUGUGUGAGAGGACUAAAAAUAAAAUUCCUUUGAAAUUUCUUAUGGGGUCAGAUAUUACCUCCUUGCCAAUGACUACUGUAAUAUAUUAAAGUAGGGGAUUGAUGUCCCAGAAAUAUUAUGUACAUCAAACAGAAGAUCUACACAAAUUAUUUUAUCAGAUACUGAAUAUAUCAAUGGACUAGUGUAUUAUAGUACAUAUGGGUAUGUUGUUUUCUCCCUUUUGACUAAAUAAACUCUCCCCUCUAUGCAACAGGUAAAUUUCCAGUUUACCUUUUUCUUGCUGUUUUUAAUUUUUUUUAUUUUGAAGGCUUUGCAUCUUUAUAUCUCAGCUGAAAAUAUUACAUUCUAACUCCCCAAAGCUAUUCUCACAUUAUUUGCAAGUAUUUUUCAUAGUUUACAUGUUUGUGUAUUUGUUUAAUACAUUCCACAAGACUGAAAGUCUUGGUGAGGGCAGGAACUCUGUCUAGGUUGUUCAUCUGGCAGCCAGCAGACCCAAAAUAAGUAUUAGUUGAAUGAAUAGCUAAAUAGAUGAGCCAUGGGGUAGCCUAUCUGUUUUAGCUACUGCUUGCCUGGUAUCAUCCUGGGAUGCUGCUUGCUUCUCCGAGAUCUCUUUCUUGUUCUUAAGUUGUCUUCAGUUGUAGUAGUAAGUACUAAUUUGAUCUGUAAUGUGAUAUGUGACUAAAGUUUGCUCUGUAAAAUCACCGUUUCCUGAGGUAUAUUCAAUACCUUUAAUUUUUCCAUAAAUCUCUUCAAGGUUUGUGUGUGUUUUCUUUUAAAUUAUCUAACUAGUUGGAUGUAUGCUUGAAGUGCUAGACAAUAAAAGUUUCAAUAGGCUA
RNAcentral lists this long non-coding RNA (3041 nucleotides) under Pongo abelii (Sumatran orangutan). RNAcentral's name for it is "lincRNA". The record is from RNAcentral. Lineage: Eukaryota; Metazoa; Chordata; Mammalia; Primates; Hominidae.